CCUCAUUCCCACUCACCUCUCGAUUGGAGCCUAGAGCAGUUCUCCACCCAGAUCCCGUCUCUCACCCGUUGUGGCAGCGACCGACAGCACUCGGCAAGUAACGGUGCUAGCAAAGUACGGCGACUGGUGGUGGCAGAAAACGGCGAGUGGCUACGCAUGCUGUUGUGGGAGCGGCGGCAGCAUGGGCUGAUGGGCGAGCGGGGGUGUAAAGGAGGCGAGAGAUCCACAUCUCUAGCUGAACAGCCGCUCGAGGAAAGGUCUUCUCCCUACCCAGCCAGAAGUUUGAUCCUUCCGAUCGAAGAGGUACCGUAUCAGUUUCCAUUUGCAAGACGUAUGGUUGGAAAAGGAUUGAAGUACUGGUGUAACACUAAUAAUUCUUACUAAGAUGUGAUUUCUAUGUCAAUGUGUAGAUGAUUCCUGAACAAUUUCUUAGGUAUUGGUAAGUCAUAUUGGAGAUAAAUUGAGUUGUGAUAAUGCUAUGAUACUAAUGAUGACAAUGGUACCUAUGGAAAUGUGGGAGAUUAUAUAUAUGGCGAUGGGCAUUACGAUCAAGACGACGAUAAUGGUGAUGAGUCUGAUGAUCUUCGAGUCAUGCAACCAAGUGAAGUUAUGAAGUUCAUGGACAAUUUAGCUUAUGCACAUUGUUUGGACCAUUAUAUCUUAGUCACUAUUUUGUUUUUCAUUUGACACUUCUUAGAUGCGUCAGUAUGGCCAAUGUAAUAUUGAUUCAACUCAUUAGACAUGUUAUACUUCUUGUUGUUAUGCUAAAUAAAAUAUAUUUUCUUUGAUCA
This is a long non-coding RNA of Aegilops tauschii subsp. strangulata, 791 nucleotides long. RefSeq lists it as uncharacterized. NCBI's taxonomy places the organism in Eukaryota, Viridiplantae, Streptophyta, Magnoliopsida, Poales, Poaceae. The record is from RefSeq and is a predicted model, not a curated record.